GCACGUGUUGUUUUCGAUAAAUGCUUG
RNAcentral lists this small RNA (27 nucleotides) under Bombyx mori (domestic silkworm). RNAcentral's name for it is "ovarian small RNA-16396". Lineage: Eukaryota; Metazoa; Arthropoda; Insecta; Lepidoptera; Bombycidae. The record is from RNAcentral.